CCGCAAUAACCCGGUACAGGUAAGCUGUGCUCCUGCUGCUUCAUUGUUUCGGCUUUGUCAUUGUUGCUGCUGUUAACCUGACGCUGUCUGAUACAGCCUCUGUUGCCGCUUGGGUGGUGUCUACUGGUGGAAGGACCACGCCGAGUUUUAUUUGUUUUUAGGGUCUGGUCCGAGCGUGGCUGCCCGGGAAGGUGGAGGGUUUUGGUGAUAGAGUCUCUCACUUCAGCCCCAUCACUCCUUGUGUGACGUGGUAUUUUUGCACACCCCUCACUUAUUUUGCAUGCUUUUGUUGUCCUAUUGUUUGCUGUGGAUGUGUAUGUGUCUUACACGGAGCGUAGUGAGUACUCUGUUCCAUAGACAACUGCGGCCUCUCACCGCGUGCACCCGCGGCCGGUCAGCCCCCCUGGCAUUUGCUAAUUU
This is a long non-coding RNA of Melanotaenia boesemani (Boeseman's rainbowfish), 420 nucleotides long. RefSeq lists it as uncharacterized. The transcript has 3 exons. The record is from RefSeq and is a predicted model, not a curated record. NCBI's taxonomy places the organism in Eukaryota, Metazoa, Chordata, Actinopteri, Atheriniformes, Melanotaeniidae.